GAACGAGAAAGUCCCGCAAGGGAUCAGUAAAGUGGCGUACGGGUGAGUAACACGUAGCCAACCUACCCUCGAGUGGGGAAUAACCCGGGGAAACCUGGGCUAAUACCGCAUAACAUCUCGGUUUCACAAGAGGCUGAGAUCAAGGGCCCGUAAGGGUCGCUGGAGGAGGGGGCUGCGGCCGAUUAGCUAGUUGGUGAGGUAACGGCCCACCAAGGCGAUGAUCGGUAGCCGGCCUGAGAGGGCGCACGGCCACACUGGCACUGAAACACGGGCCAGACUCCUACGGGAGGCAGCAGUGGGGAAUUUUGCACAAUGCCCGAAAGGGUGAUGCAGCAACGCCGCGUGAGGGAUGAAGGCCUUCGGGUCGUAAACCUCUUUCGACCGGAAAAAAUGGUCCGCUGAAGAGGCGGGCCUGAUGGUACUGGUGGAACAAGCCCCGGCUAACUACGUG
This 451-nucleotide ribosomal RNA is filed under the name uncultured bacterium. RNAcentral describes it as "bacterial SSU rRNA". It matches the Rfam family "Bacterial small subunit ribosomal RNA", at positions 64 to 507 of the family's 1533-position model. The record is from RNAcentral.